AAUUAUCGUGUCACUCAUUAUU
This 22-nucleotide microRNA is filed under the name Drosophila pseudoobscura. Its description in RNAcentral is "dps-miR-2529". Lineage: Eukaryota; Metazoa; Arthropoda; Insecta; Diptera; Drosophilidae. The record is from miRBase by way of RNAcentral.